Non-coding RNA from Struthio camelus australis, 2245 nucleotides. The record is from RefSeq and is a predicted model, not a curated record. Lineage: Eukaryota; Metazoa; Chordata; Aves; Struthioniformes; Struthionidae.
GUCUGCACUCCGGGGAGCGGACAGGAGGCAGGAGCUGCGCAGGACCGAGCCAUCAGCGCCUCGUGCUGACUUGGUGUCCAGCCAGGAGGAAAUCAUCAGCCCAGCAGCGCAGACCUUGCGCUGGGCAAAGCUCAACUCACCACAGCCCCAGAGCAGGGUAGGCGGGUGGGCACCUGUCCCACAGACGGCGAGAUGGAGACGGGCAACAGCCCGCAGCUCUGCCAUCCCCCUGGUCCCCUGCCCAUCUGUGCACCUGGUGACGGAGCAGACGUGGAGACUGUUCCCACUCGGCCCAGCCCCACCAGGGCACAGCGGCCGCAGUUAGUGCCCGUCUCCGGAGACAGCCGCCCUUGAGAUGACACGGUUACAUUGCAGAGCACGAGGCAGGGCGGGCAGCAAAGGAGGGUCCAGGAACGGAGGGGAAUUUGGGGAGGCACAGCAGGAAGUCAGUCCAGAGCCCCUGGGGCAUACCCCUGUGCUCAGCACAGAAAGGGCAUCAGGGCACAUCCCGCUUCGGGACCUCUGUGCAAGAGCGCCCCAUGGAUACGAGCUCCUCAUAGCAAUGCAGUCCAGGCAGAGGAAAACCUGACCUUGCUGAUGGUCCAGCAUCAAUGUGGCCACACAUCUCCACACAUCUCCCAUCUGCCGGACCCUGCUGAGUGGAGCAGUCCCAACAGGAGCCCGGAAAAGUAAAGGAGAAGAAUCUCAAGGAGUUUGUUGUUCUCCACACAGAGCUGAAAUGCGCUCCUCUUCUUCCUGGCCCUUGUCCUGAAAUCCCCCGCUGCUCAGAGCGAGCUGGCACUAGCAUCUCACAGACUGCACUCGAAGCAGGGGCCAGCGUGCCAGAGCGGUGCACGGCUGCCUUCCCCUGUUGGGGAUUGCCGGAAAGCACCGCGUCCCCAGAUCUGUGGGUGAAUCCAUGCAGCCCCUUGGCAGGCAAUGCCAUCGUGCCCAUGGGGGCAGGCCUGCAUGAUGUGGCUGGGCAGCAGGCCAUGCCCCAGGUGUUGCAGCGUGUGCAAACGCCUUGCUGGCUUCUGGUCUCAGCUCUGCUCCUGUCGGAGAACCAGGGAGGUGCCAAAAUGCCUUGCCUCAGCAAGGGGCGCAGCUGACUUUGGAGGGGCCACUAGAGACACUUGCCAAAGGGACCUUCUCCUGACACCAGACACAAAGUGCAAGGCUCUUCCCUGUGUCAGGGUUGUGCAACACAAACGAACCACUCAAGGAUCUCACCCACUUUGCAGCUCUCGUGCUGCUGGGACCCGCUUCUGCACCGUGUCAUGCUGGAAAGACUGCUCUGCGAUGAGGCUGGCAUCCUCUCCUCGCAGGCAGCUCAAAGCCCGUGCUGAGCAAGGGUCAUCUUCCCUGUUCUGCUGUGCAGGGAGAAGAGGAGCGAGGCGGUGCAGGGGAUGCAGCCAGCCCUGAAGAGCUUGGGGCUAGCUCUGCUCCUGCAGCAGAGGUGCCAGCGACGUGGGCAGCUCGGCACAGCCAGGGUGCGGGACCUGCAUCCUCCCCACGUCAUGCAGCACUUGAGAGAACUGGUCACUUCUCUCCACGUUGGUCACUUUUAGCCUCCUAGCUCAGACGCCAAAGGCAGCGGGGACUGAGCCUGGGGCUGCCUAAGGUCUGAGAACGCUGCUCCCUUCCCACAGACCCUGCUGCAUCCCUAGGUUCGAAGCUCCCGUCUCGGAGGGUAGCGUACGAGCAGCGGUCUGAGGCAGAGCCCUCCUCGCCCUCCUCUGCCUGCUAGCUCCCCUUUCCCUCCCCACACUGGGAAGCAGUGGGGUUUUUAAAAAAAUGGAGAAAAAAACAAGAGAGGGGGGAUUUCUGCAGAAAGAAAGAGGAAGGGAAUGCAGCAAUUUCUGUGGCGACAGCGACAGGAAACGGCAAAAGCCUUGUGAAACUCCGCCUUUGGUAUCCUGGGGCUCUUCCUAGCCCUGACAUGCAUGCUGUUGUCCGGGGGCCUGCGGGCGGGCGGCUGUGCGUCGCAGAGCUGUGCUUCGCGGGUGUCUCCUCGUGGUUUCGUCCCUGGGCUUGGGCAGCUCCCGAGCACCUCUCCCCUCCGGCCCAGCACUGCCGGCUCCUCUCGGCCUUGCUCUCGGUCAGGCUUUGCAGACAGCCGCCUCUGUGGGACUGUCCCCGGUGUCCUGAGGGGCUUCUUGGAGAGGGGCAGUGCUGGGCAGGGGCGACGAGAGGGGAUCCAAGCUCCGUGGGGUUCGGCAGUCCCGGGGGAGAGGGUGGCACAUGC